Molecule: long non-coding RNA, 1890 nt
Organism: Microtus ochrogaster (prairie vole)
Lineage: Eukaryota; Metazoa; Chordata; Mammalia; Rodentia; Cricetidae
Exons: 6
Source: RefSeq, a predicted model, not a curated record
ACAAACAUAUGGAUGCCCACAAACACACAUUCAGACACAAAAAGAGAAGACAAAGUUCUCAAAAUUAGCACACAAUAGUUUGACUAGGAAUAGGAGAGGAUUUUUCACUUAGAUUAUGGAUGAUGGCUUUUUACAAAUAUAUAAUAUUUAUGUAUUUAUAAUGAGUAAAAUAUUUUUAAGAAAUGAAGUCACCAGAGAAACUGUAGUAGAGUUUAUAUUCUGCAUGUUACCUACAUGCACACAUGGUCACAUCUGAUACCACAGUGCAUGUUUAUACACACACACAUGCAGAGACACACACAGCACUAUAUAUAUAUAGGUUUGAAAGAGCAAAGAAAAGGGAGAAAUGCAUACACACAAAGAAGAAAGUUAUCAAAGUUAGCAUAAAUAGUGAUUGUAAGAAUGGGUGGAUUUUAGAUUAUGUUAUGGAGGAUGGAUUUUUACAAACACACAAUGUUUUCAUCUUUGAAUUAUGUAAGUUAUUAUGCAGAAAUGAAGGCACCAGACAAACAUUAGCAGAGUUUAUUCUCUGGAUGUCACCUACAUGAACACAUAUGUGCCUUCUCUACAUGAAAACUACUCUGCAUACAUAUACACACAAACACACACACACAGAGCAAGUGUGCGUGAGAGAGAUAGGUUAAAUGCAUAUUGAAUUUGACAGUUUGCUUUUUCUAAAACACCACUUAAAUUAUUUUUUUUCCACUAUGGCUGUUUCGGUCAUUUCAUUCUCACUGGGUAUUUUGACAAACUUGGGCUCAACAACACCAUUCAUAUCUUUAUUGCAAGCACUAUUGUUAUGGCACUGUAAUAUUCAUAAAGUUCUAAUCCGGGAUGAUGGCUCAUGCAUAUAAUCGAGACACUUGGGGUAACUGACACAGGCACAGGGCAGAGAGUCAGCACCAAUUAGAACGAACCAGUAUAAAAUGGAUGAUUCCUGGUCAAUAGCCAGUUUCUAGGUCCAAGCAGCCUGAUAUGCUCAGCCUCCAGGUGAAAAUAGCUUGUUUUGUCUCUUCUCAAUGAUAGUCAGAGCCCAGGUUAAAUGACUUUUUCUCCUGACUUUGUCCUGUCAAUUUCCCUGCUUCUGCUGCAACAGAUAGGGAGAUGAGAGAGAAACAAAAUAGCCGCCUUUGAUGGAAAGCUCCCGAGUUACAACAGGCUUUGAUUUCUGUACCUAGGAUUGAGUGCUCCCCCUCUCUCCAUUGAAUGUUCCAAAUCCAUUCUGUAUUUGAUUGUACACACUCAGUCAGUCACAGGCAAACUUCACACAGGGCUUUUGCCAAUCAGACUCCUGACUGCAAUACACCUCUCAGCUGGUUUUAGGUUCUAGUCAGGUCUUCCCUACAACCUACCUACAAGUGAAGGAGAGCUGCUUCUGAGACCUGAAAGGAGACACAACCAGUGGAAAUGCAGUAGGAGUGAUUGUUUAGAGUUGUAAUCAUUUUGCAUCUAACAUGAAGCAAUCAACAGCUGUUUUCACCUAUCUCUUCAAGGAGAAGUUCCUCACUACCCCUGGGAUGUCUUUAGGAAACUCCUUGUUUAAAUUCCGUUCUAUUGUGGCCAAGAUUCAGUAGCCAUGCUUGUGGAGUCAGCAGCUGUCUCUGGGAAUGACUGCCGAACUAUUCAUCCAAGGACCAGACAAGAAUGCAAUGAACAACAAAGACCAUCUUUUAAGGGAUCCUGUUUCAUGAGAGAGUCAGCUAGACAUUCUGAAGGACACACAAAAAUGUGACUGAGAAACUGCCAAUAUAGGCUGACCUAUCUUAUUUCUUACUUCCUGGAAAAGUUUGCUGGAUACUAUGGGAUCAGUAAGCUGAAGAUGGAUGCUCCAAUGGUACACAUUGUUUCUUCUGUGAGUCAGAUGCAUUUGGUUACUCUUCCCUGUCUGGA